CAAGAGUAAGCUCCCCGACACCCUUUGGUGGACUGAUGCUGCAUUGGGAUGUGUUAUGCAUUGCAAUUGCAUCUUUUAUUUUUUGAAACUUAGCAAGCGAACAUGAAAAUGAUUCCAACUGUCCAUGAGCACCGCGAUAGAAGUGGAAGUAAGGAAGCACUUUAACAUUCAAACUUUUGCACAUAGGCUUGUUUUCAUCAAAAUUCACUUUAAGGAACAAAAUCUCAGGAUGUUCUUCAGCUGUCCUGCAGAG
This 253-nucleotide unclassified non-coding RNA is filed under the name Hevea brasiliensis (rubber tree). The record is from RNAcentral. Lineage: Eukaryota; Viridiplantae; Streptophyta; Magnoliopsida; Malpighiales; Euphorbiaceae.